ACGCUGGCGGCAGGCCUAACACAUGCAAGUCGAGCGGAUGAGAGGAGCUUGCUCCUGGAUUCAGCGGCGGACGGGUGAGUAAUGCCUAGGAAUCUGCCUGGUAGUGGGGGACAACGUUUCGAAAGGAACGCUAAUACCGCAUACGUCCUACGGGAGAAAGCAGGGGACCUUCGGGCCUUGCGCUAUCAGAUGAGCCUAGGUCGGAUUAGCUAGUUGGUGAGGUAAUGGCUCACCAAGGCGACGAUCCGUAACUGGUCUGAGAGGAUGAUCAGUCACACUGGAACUGAGACACGGUCCAGACUCCUACGGGAGGCAGCAGUGGGGAAUAUUGGACAAUGGGCGAAAGCCUGAUCCAGCCAUGCCGCGUGUGUGAAGAAGGUCUUCGGAUUGUAAAGCACUUUAAGUUGGGAGGAAGGGUUGUAGAUUAAUACUCUGCAAUUUUGACGUUACCGACAGAAUAAGCACCGGCUAACUCUGUGCCAGCAGCCGCGGUAAUACAGAGGGUGCAAGCGUUAAUCGGAAUUACUGGGCGUAAAGCGCGCGUAGGUGGUUUGUUAAGUUGGAUGUGAAAUCCCCGGGCUCAACCUGGGAACUGCAUCCAAAACUGGCAAGCUAGAGUAUGGUAGAGGGUGGUGGAAUUUCCUGUGUAGCGGUGAAAUGCGUAGAUAUAGGAAGGAACACCAGUGGCGAAGGCGACCACCUGGACUGAUACUGACACUGAGGUGCGAAAGCGUGGGGAGCAAAC
Molecule: ribosomal RNA, 745 nt
Filed under: uncultured bacterium
Lineage: Bacteria
Description: bacterial SSU rRNA
Rfam family: Bacterial small subunit ribosomal RNA
Source: RNAcentral